AGGGUUUGAUCCUGGCUCAGAACGAACGCUGGCGGCGUGGCUAAGACAUGCAAGUCGAACGGACUAUGUAAUUGAGUAAUCGUGCACAUAGUUAGUGGCGAAAGGGUUAGUAAUGGCUAGGUAACGUACCCCCUGCUCUGGGAUAGUUAUCCGAAGGGAUAAGUAAUACCAGAUAAUAUCGUAAAUCGAUAGGUUUACGAUCAAAGAUUUAUCGGGAGGGGAGCGGCCUAGUUCCCAUCAGCUUGUUGGUGAGGUAAUGGCUCACCAAGGCUAUGACGGGUAGCGGGACUGAGAGGUUGGCCCGCAACAUCGGGACUGAGACACUGCCCGGACCUCCACGGAGGGCUGCAGUAACGAAUAUUGUGCAAUGGGCGAAAGCCUGACACAGCGACGCCGCGUGUAGGAGGAAGUCCCUCGGGAUGUAAACUACUGUCAGGGUGAAGAAAGUCUGUUUCGGCAGAUUGAUCUAACCCGGAGGAAGUCACGGCUAACUUCGUGCCAGCAGCCGCGGUAAGACGAAGGUGGCAAGCGUUGUUCGGUAUUACUGGGCUUAAAGCGUGUGUAGGCGGAUAAAUUAGCGUUUUGUGAAAUCCCUCGGCUUAACCGAGGAAUUGCUUGACGAACUGUUUAUCUUGAGGCAAGUAGGGGUACACGGAACUCUUGGUGGAGCGGUGGAAUGCGUAGAUAUCAAGAGGAACGCCAGUGGUGAAGACGGUGUACUGGGCUUGAUCUGACGCUGAGACGAAAGCGUGGGGAGCAAACAGGAUUAGAUACCCUGGUAGUCCACGCUGUAAACGAUGCCUACUAGGUCGCGGAGGUUCUGACACCGUCGCGGCUGGAGCGAAAGUUUUAAGUAGGCCGCCUGGGGAGUACGGUCGCAAGGCUAAAACUCAAAGGAAUUGACGGGGGCUCACACAAGCGGUGGAGCAUGUGGAUUAAUUCGAAGCAACGCGCAGAACCUUACCUGGGUUUGACAUGGUUGGAUGCCCUCUUGGAAACAGGAGUAAGCUGCCCUUCGGGGUGAAACUUUCACAGGUGCUGCAUGGCUGUCGUCAGCUCGUGUCGUGAGAUGUUGGGUUAAGUCCUUUAACGAGCGAAACCCUUACCGUUAGUUGCCAUCAGGUUAUGCUGGGGACUCUAGCGGGACUGCCGGUGUUAAACCGGAGGAAGGCGGGGAUGACGUCAAGUCAUCAUGGCCUUUAUGCCCAGGGCUUCACACGUGCUACAAUGGUCGGUACAGAGCGACGCAAGACCGCGAGGUGGAGCAAAUCGCAAAAAGCCGGCCCCAGUUCGGAUUGUAGGCUGGCAACUCGCCUGCAUGAAGUUGGAAUCGCUAGUAAUCGCGUGUCAGCUAUAACGCGGUGAAUGUGUUCCUGAGCCUUGUACACACCGCCCGUCAAGUGAUGGGAGUUGGGAGUACCCGAAGUCGGAUUGCUAACCAGUAAUGGAAGCGUCUGCCGACGGUAAGCCCGAUGACUGGCACUAAGUCGUAACAAGGUA
Molecule: ribosomal RNA, 1500 nt
Filed under: metagenome
Description: bacterial SSU rRNA
Rfam family: Bacterial small subunit ribosomal RNA
Source: RNAcentral